UCAGAAGGGCCCCGGGAAGGGCCGCCGGCCCCCAUGGAGAGCAGGGUCCCCGUGCGCGCUCCCCGGUCCUCUGCCUCGCCGGCACUCACGGAGUGUCCCCAUGCAGGGUCCCUGGCCCCGAAGAAGGGUCCCUGCAGAGGGUCCCUCCCCAGCACAGCCGCCCCAGCAGAGAUCGGUGCCCGCGGUGGUGGGCUGCAGGUGCCCUGCUCCGGCAGGAGCUGUGCCCCGCGUGGCAGGAGGUGGGCAGGGAGAGGCAGGAGCUGUGCCUGGGCAGGGAGAACAGUUACCAUUCAUGCUUGCUUUUUCUUGCUUAUCUUCUCAAAAUGCUUACGCAUUCCCGCGGGAGAGAGGACAGCAUGAUGUAUUGAUAGGCCCUCCCCAUCUCACUCCUGGCCUCGUGAGACCCUUAUCCCCGGCAGACCCCACUCUGGGGUGCUUUCUCCCACGUUCAGCCUUGCACAUCAGAGCUGCUCCUUGGCAGGGCCAAGGACUUGGCCGCCGCCUCCUUCCUGUGUCUCAGCAGGGUGAGUCAGUGCCUCGCCGUGCCCAGCGCCAGCUCUGCCCGGAGCCUGGCACUGCUGCGAGGCGUGGAGGCUCUUUGUGCGCACACGAGUUUCCGGAGCACCCCGAGGUCCCCAGAGCUCACUGCAUCCCGAAUCCUGCUGCGGGGACGGCGCAUGAGGGUGCUGCCCGUGCAGAGUGACACGUUCCCAGAUCCCUCGCUGUCGUGGCCCCUUCAUCCUGCCUUGCCGGGAGGGCGUUGGAAAAGCACUGAUAUCAUCGGCACAGAGCCUGACUCAUCCUGGCUCUUCAGCACAAGCCGUGCCGCUCAGCGGGGCACACAUUUUAUUCCAAUUAAACCAUUGCAGUCAAGCCAGCUCUACAUAAUGAUUUUUUUUUUUUUAACUCGUAGCAAAGCGUGCCUGCCCCGGGCCAAAAGGUGAGAGGGGACAGAAGUGACGCUGGAGUCAGUGGAGAGUCUCCACCUCUGGUAUGGAGCCCUAAGAAUAAGUCUUGCCAGAAACCUGCAGGGUCUGUCUCGGCUGCUGCAGCAUCCCUGCCUCCCUUGUGCCUCCAGUGCAGGCUCGCAGCACUGUGUUGUGUCAAGAGCCCUCGCCCGUACCGCAAAUGCCCAGGUCGGAAUGUCACCUCCACGACACGACACGGAGUGCAGCUCCUGCCAAAAGACCCCAGGGGGGGCAGCAUCAAAGUGCCCCUGUCACUGAGAGAAAAUGUAAGGUGACUUGUUCCUCCUGCCCUCCCUGCUCAGGUUUUUCCCCUUUAUUAGAGGUUUGGGAGGUGAGUCAGGGAGCUGCGGGGUGAGGAUGGAGCUGCGGAGGAAUCGGCAGCUAAGGAAAAGGCAAACCAGUUCCAGGCACAGGUGAAUCACUUGCUGGUGAAAAUACAUCUUAUUCUCUGGGAGGCAUGCGUGGAUGGGCUGGGAGUGAGCUGCAGCUUGACUCCAUCAGAAAAUUGUGGAGUUAAGAAAAAAAAACCAAAGCAAGGCAAGGCUGCUUUUCUAGUAAAUGAGGCGAUACAUUGCAAGGGAGCAGCCUGCAGCCGGCAAAGCUCCAGCAGCCCGUGGUCCUGUGGCUCCCUUAAAAGGGGCGAUUUUAGCCUGGGACAGCAGGGAGACAGAAAAGCCAUAAACACCCUUAGAGGAAUGUGGCUGCCGAGAAACGAGAAUCUCCGCAGGCGAGGCG
Molecule: long non-coding RNA, 1703 nt
Organism: Chloebia gouldiae (Gouldian finch)
Lineage: Eukaryota; Metazoa; Chordata; Aves; Passeriformes; Passeridae
Source: Ensembl